GACACUGUGGCCGAGUGGUUAAGGCGAUGGCCUGCUAUACUUAGCGGAUUAGCCAUUGGGUUCGCCCGCGUGAGUUCGAAUCUCAUCGGUGUCG
Non-coding RNA from Xylariaceae sp. FL0662B, 94 nucleotides. The record is from the annotation of a GenBank genome assembly. Lineage: Eukaryota; Fungi; Ascomycota; Sordariomycetes; Xylariales; Xylariaceae.